RNAcentral lists this ribosomal RNA (253 nucleotides) under uncultured bacterium. RNAcentral's name for it is "partial 16S ribosomal RNA". It matches the Rfam family "Bacterial small subunit ribosomal RNA", at positions 524 to 776 of the family's 1533-position model. The record is from RNAcentral.
UACGUAGGGAGCAAGCGUUGUCCGGAAUCAUUGGGCGUAAAGCGCGCGUAGGCGGCCCUGUAAGUCCGUUGUGAAAGUCAAAGGCUCAACCUUUGAAAGCCGAUGGAUACUGCAGGGCUAGAGUCCGGAAGAGGCGAGUGGAAUUCCUGGUGUAGCGGUGGAAUGCGCAGAUAUCAGGAGGAACACCAACGGCGAAGGCAGCUCGCUGGGACGGUACUGACACUGAGUCGCGAAAGCGUGGGGAGCGAACAGG